GCCUACGGUGUAGACCCCAGCAGAAACACGUUUCGUGAGGGGUCUACGAAUAAACGAAGAAAAGCUUGCCCGGCCUACGUCAUAUCCGUUUUACGUUUUGGGUAAAUUAACUUCAAUUUAUUCAAAUUUCUGAGCGUGCGUGAAUGUAAAUUUUCAUUUGGCGCUUAUUAAAAUGUUCCAUGGCGGGCUUUGUGCAAUAAAAUAUACCCUGACUAUAUAUAUACCCAACCAUUAAACACAUGUUCGAACGGACUAAAAAGUUCUUGUCAUUCGUACAAACUGUUAGUCUGUUGAAGGCUUGAAACUUGUCAAGAUAUCUAAUUUCCGAAGUCGAAGACAAAGUCUAUUUCCCACUAUUAAAUGUAGCCGGCAUAAAAGCUUUAUCGCAAGUCGGCUCGAAUCCUAGUUGGUUCACGACAUUUAUCAAUAGCGUUUAAUGCUGUUUCGUGCACGUUGGUUAUCGUAUUGUCUAGGCUCUAGCUCACAUAUUAAACCGUUCUUUGAAGCUUCUCCGUUUCACCGUUUGUUUACCAUGCCAGGCGGCCAGGCAUGCUUUACAAAUGCUAUUUGUAGGUGAAAUGGAG
This is a non-coding RNA of Paramuricea clavata, 584 nucleotides long. NCBI's taxonomy places the organism in Eukaryota, Metazoa, Cnidaria, Anthozoa, Malacalcyonacea, Plexauridae. The record is from the annotation of a GenBank genome assembly.